RNAcentral lists this ribosomal RNA (366 nucleotides) under Methanobacteriota archaeon. RNAcentral's name for it is "bacterial LSU rRNA". It matches the Rfam family "Archaeal large subunit ribosomal RNA", at positions 2610 to 2975 of the family's 2987-position model. The record is from RNAcentral. Lineage: Archaea; Methanobacteriati; Methanobacteriota.
CCUAUCCUGGGUCUUCAGCAGGACCCAAGGGUGGGGUUGUUCGCCCAUUAAAAGGGAUCGUGAGAUGGGUUUAGACCGUCGUGAGACAGGUUUGUUGCUUUGUGGCUGAAGCGCGUAAGAUACCUGACGGGAAGGGGCUCUUAGUACGAGAGGAACGGAGUCUCGGUGCCACUAGUCUACCAGUUGUCUGCUAAGGCAAUGCUGGGUAGCCACGCACCAAUGGAUAAGAGCUGAAAGCAUCUAAGCUCGAAGUCAACCUGAAGACGAGGUAUCUCAGAGCUCCGAUAAAAGAUCGGUUUGAUAGACUGCGGGUGUAAGCACCAAGGUUCGCCGAGGUGUGUAGCCCAGCAGCACUAAUCGCUCGAG